GAAAGACCUGUAGCCUAAGGCAUAGUGAAAAAGAGAUGAAAUAGUAGUUCUACAAGCAGCCGGAAUGAAGCUUUUAAUAGCUAAUAACGGUGUACCUUUUGCAUAAUGGGUCAGCAACUUAAUCGGUGAUGCAAGCAGAAAUGCCUAGAUAAAACGACUAUAUAAAGAAUGAUGGUAAAUCUUUCUUAAUUUAAUAAAUUAAUAAAGAUAUAAGUAUCCUCGAUUAGACCCGAAACCAAGUGAUCUUACCAUGGUCAAGUAUAUAAAUGACUGAACGGGUGUUUGUCGCAAAAAGCUCCGAUGAACUGUGGUAAGUAAGUGAAAGACAAAUCUGACUUGGAGAUAGCUGGUAUUCCGCGAAACCUAUUUUAGUAGGUCAUCCAUACAAUAACUUUUAAUGCGAAAUAUAACUUUGCUGGAAAGUUAACUUAUUAGCAGGUACAGCACUUGAAUUCCAUAAUCUUUAUUUUAACUUCUUGUUUUUAAAGAAUAAAAUAAGAAUCGCUUAAAUGCGAAAAGUUGAUAAAGCUUUAUAUUGGGGGGUCGUGAAGGCUCUAUCAUUGGAAAUUAACCUCGGAAUGGCAAAUAAGAAUAAUGGACAAUCAGACACCUGGUGCUAAGGUCAUGUGUCAAAAGGGAAACAGCCCAGAACAAGAAAAUUAAGGCUCCAAAAUCAUUGUUGUCUUAUGUCCUCGGAAUAAGACAACUUUUUGACCUUUAAAGGGUCAAAUCAGUUAAGUGAAAUAAAGGGAGUUAUUCACCUUCUACAGCCAUGAAGUGAGCUUAGAGGCAGCUAUCUUUUAAAGACCGCGUAAUAGCGCAGUGGUCCAAAUGAAAAUGGGAGAAUAGCACCGAAAAUUUACCGGAUCUAAACAAUGUGCCGAAAUCUUGUGUUUUAUAAUUAGGCUUAAUAUUCAAAAAACACAGUGUUACACAGUCAAAUUAUAAAACGGUAGCGGAACAUUCAGUAAAUGGAUGAAGAGUAGUGUUUCAUUACUUGGACAUAACUGAAGAGAGAAUGCUGACAUGAGUAACGUUAAAGGUGGUCUAUUUUAAAUAAAAAAAAAAGAUAAUUAGGACAAUACGCAAGCUUUAUCUCUAUUUGCUAUUUUUUUUUAUCUUCAAUAAAUAUAAUCCACCUCGCCUUAAGCAGAAGGGUUUCAAGGCAAUGCUUAACAGCCUUGAGUAAAGUAACGGCCUCUAAGAUAAUAACCGAAAGGGUUAAAACGAUGAGAAAAUAAAUAAAACUUCUUUCUGAAUAAAAACCAGUUAUAUUAGUAUAAAAGGUUCAGGAAAAAACAGAACAGAAUAAUUUUAUUAUUAAUAAAAUUAUUAUUAAACCGUACCCUAAACCGACACUGGUUUG
RNAcentral lists this ribosomal RNA (1366 nucleotides) under Taphrina flavorubra JCM 22207. Its description in RNAcentral is "16S ribosomal RNA". It matches the Rfam family "Bacterial large subunit ribosomal RNA", at positions 509 to 1667 of the family's 2925-position model. The record is from RNAcentral. Lineage: Eukaryota; Fungi; Ascomycota; Taphrinomycetes; Taphrinales; Taphrinaceae.